Molecule: ribosomal RNA, 430 nt
Filed under: uncultured bacterium
Lineage: Bacteria
Description: partial 16S ribosomal RNA
Rfam family: Bacterial small subunit ribosomal RNA
Source: RNAcentral
CCUACGGGAGGCAGCAGUGGGGAAUAUUGGACAAUGGGCGCAAGCCUGAUCCAGCAAUGCCGCGUGGAUGAAGAAGGUUUUCGGAUUGUAAAGUCCUUUCGGGGACGAUGCGGUACCGCAGAAGAAGCCCCGGCUAACUUCGUGCCAGCAGCCGCGGUAAUACGAAGGGGGCUAGCGUUGCUCGGAAUGACUGGGCGUAAAGGGCGCGUAGGCGGAUUGAUCAGUCAGACGUGAAAUUCCUGGGCUCAACCUGGGGGCUGCGUUUGAGACGGUUAGUCUAGAGUUUGGAAGAGGGUCGUGGAAUUCCCAGUGUAGAGGUGAAAUUCGUAGAUAUUGGGAAGAACACCGGUGGCGAAGGCGGCGACCUGGUCUUACUGACGCUGAGGCGCGAAAGCGUGGGGAGCAAACAGGAUUAGAUACCCUUGUAGUC